UUCAUUUCUUGUCCGUUUUCCAUGAACUUUUUUUUAAAAGUUUCGUCUGUAUGUCUAUUUUCAUGUACAAUUUUUACUUUGUUAAAAUUCGUUAUGUGCUGUUCCCAGUAAAUUUUUUUCUCCACUGUGUUCAUCCAGUAUUCUGCUGUUGAAUUAAUACUCCACUGUUUUGCUUUGUUGUUGGCUGUUUGGACUUUGUUGUGGCUGGAAUUACUCANUGGACGUUGCUACACCCUCCCAACACUCUUAAGCAAGGAUUAAAGACUUCAAAUCAAUGCUUGGAGGGGCUGAACCGUGGCUGUCCAGAGCCUUGUGCAAGUAGACAUUUCUUCN
This 333-nucleotide long non-coding RNA is filed under the name Vigna radiata. RNAcentral's name for it is "long non-coding RNA (VRAD_LNC011927)". Lineage: Eukaryota; Viridiplantae; Streptophyta; Magnoliopsida; Fabales; Fabaceae. The record is from RNAcentral.